GUAGUAAAUAUGUGUACGAACUGUUGCAUAAAUAGCGGGAGCCAUGUGGGGAAAUAACAGCGUAUACCAAAUAAGGAAGGCCCCAGGCCUUGUGUGAAGACAUAAAAUAAAGACGAUUAUGAACCCGUUUACGGGAGAUAGAUAAAUAAUUAGACACCUAAAUAAGGCAUACUUGUCCUGUAGAGGCCUAAAAGGCACGUGUCAAUAGUAUGGAUACGACAGAAGGAAGCGGGCAGGCGUCCAUCAUUUAUCUAUCCUCCGCGCUUGCUCUGGAAGAAGCUCCAGUUGCUUGGGUGUUUACUGUCGUUCAGAGCUCGAUUUAGUCAUCUCCUCCAUCCAUCAUGAAGGUCCUCGUUGCUUUCCUGGUCGUAUGCCUUGCAGUGGCAGUGCGAUCCCAGAGCUGCAGAGAGACUACCGCCACCCCCUGCACUGGUGACUCGUACAGUUGCGCUGAGCGCACAGUCACUUGCAACUCCUCCCUGUACUGCUUGUCCGGAUCUACGUAUUCCAAUGUCAUAGGUACCGGAGUUGGUAUCAGGUUCUGGACCAAGAGGUGCUAUACCUCAGCUGACACAGACCAGAUCAACUGCGGAACCCAGAACUUCACCUGCAAAACGACUACAGAUGUCGGUGUGACCGGCUCCUACUGCUGGAGAUGCUGCGUCGGUACUGACUGCAACAACGGCACUCCUCCCGUCGCCGCUGCCUCUACUCUGCAGAUCAUCAGCCCAAUCACCAUGAUCAUGCUCAUUGCCGCCAUUUUCUACUUGACCAAGUAGACUAUUCCCUUCUAAAGGACAUAGUAAUACUGUUUGGUGUGCCGCAUUGAUGUGUGUCUUUUCACAUCUUGCCUCUUUUUGACGGUUUAAGCCUACCAUCCCGUGCCUUUUCCCUGUGUCAUUCGCUGUCUGAGAUUGGCAAAAUGGACCGAGUGGUUUGUCCGUUUGUAGAAAGCCACACGGUCAUGAUCUGUUUUUUUCCUCUCUUUCUGGUCUUCCCAGGUCUUGUUAAUUAAUCCUGUUUGAGUGUCUAUGUUUACAUAUUCAGACUAUACUGAAUGGUACAGUUUUGAGAGAGAAGCUUUCCGGUAUUGAA
Sycon ciliatum is the source of this 1095-nucleotide long non-coding RNA. RefSeq lists it as uncharacterized. NCBI's taxonomy places the organism in Eukaryota, Metazoa, Porifera, Calcarea, Leucosolenida, Sycettidae. The record is from RefSeq and is a predicted model, not a curated record. The transcript is spliced from 2 exons.